UUAUCAUUCUGUGCCCGAGUGGACAGAUGGUGAAAGAUAUUUUUAGAUUCUGAAAUGGUAACUUCCUAUUCUUGGUAGGAAGCUUCAUCCCCCUUUUCCUUCAGCCUAAAGUGGGCCAGAUGCCCCUCGACUCACUGGCUAUCCCCCCAUUCAGAAUCCACUUACAAGAAACUAAUACUUCUCUUCUUUGUUAAGCAUAAACUGAGUUUCCCUCAAAUAGGGCAAAAAUGGCCAUGGGUGUGGGGUCCCAGGGGAGUAGCUAGAAUUGCUAAGGAUCCCCUCAGCUCUAUGGUUUCUUGGAUAUGGAUAAAAGGACUAGCUAUUUCUACUAUCUCCCAUUUGCAAAAUGAGGAGGCUGGGAUGAGAUAAGUUUGUAGGGAUAACAAUCUAAUAGCUCUUAGGUUGAAUGUGGCUUGUGGAAGUGUUUUGUGUGGCUUGCAUAGUAUUUUAAAAACCCAGAGUCGUAGCUUCCCUUUAAAAAAAUUGGAUCUAGCAGUAUCAAUCCUGUAACAAUUUAGAAAGAGUCUAUGUGCUCUAAUUUGUCCAUCUUUCCCUUUGAUCAUAUCUGUACUAUUUCACUUAGACAUGAAAGCCCUAAUUUACAGUUCUAUAACAAUUAUUUUAUUAAACACUGACUUUGUGCCAAGCCUA
Long non-coding RNA from Homo sapiens (human), 651 nucleotides. NCBI's taxonomy places the organism in Eukaryota, Metazoa, Chordata, Mammalia, Primates, Hominidae. The record is from Ensembl.